GAUGAACGCUGGCGGCGUGCCUAAUACAUGCAAGUAGAACGCUGAAGGAAGGAGCUUGCUCUUUCCGGCUGAGUUGCGAACGGGUGAGUAACGCGUGGGUAACCUGCCUGGUAGCGGGGGAUAACUAUUGGAAACGGUAGCUAAUACCGCAUAACAGUAGAUGUUGCAUGGUGUCUACUUAAAAGGUGCAAUUGCACCACUGCCAGAUGGACCUGCGUUGUAUUAGCUAGUUGGUGAGGUACCGGCUCACCAAGGCGACGAUACAUAGCCGAACUGAGAGGGCGAGCGGCCGCACUGGGAGUGUGACACGCCCCAGUGGGCCUCAGGAGGGAGCAGGAGUGAUACGGCGGCAAGGGAUGGAAGAUUGUGCGAGCAAGGCGGCGGGAGUGUAGAAGGACGCCGGAUCGUGAAUGACGGCUGUAAGAGAAGAACGCGCGUGCGAGUGGAAAGUUCACACAGUGACGGUAUCUUACCAGAAAGGGACGGCUAACUACGUG
This 497-nucleotide ribosomal RNA is filed under the name uncultured bacterium. RNAcentral's name for it is "partial 16S ribosomal RNA". It matches the Rfam family "Bacterial small subunit ribosomal RNA", at positions 28 to 507 of the family's 1533-position model. The record is from RNAcentral.